UGUAGUCGACUAAAACAAACGACCAAAAAGUUGGCGAUUCAUUUAGUUGUCGAUUAGCUGGUGACGUCAUUACUCGUCUUUCUCAAGGUCACUAGAAACGUUUUGACAUUAUUACCGCUUACUGGAGAGUUAGCUAGCUAACAACAGCGCGAUGACGACCUCAAGAACAAAUUCCUCAAAAGUGCGGGAGCAUUUCACGCUAAAUAAGGUUGUAGCUGUGCUGUAAAGCCGACCUUAGCUGGCGCGGGAGCACAUCCUCCAUGUGGAGUAUCUGAAGAGGAAACCUUUCGGUUCACUGGAUGAAGAAGAUUCAGCUCGAUUUGAAUUUGGAUCAUCUGUCUGCUUCUGUCCUGACCCUGUUAAUGGAUUAUGUUCCUGAUUAACUGAUGCCCCAGUAAACAAAGCCUCUCUAUUGUUCUACUGACUCUGGUUACAGUUGGCUGCAACUGGACUUCUUGAAUACCUUGAUCCAUCACAACAUUCACAGACCACACCUCUGGUCAUAACACUCACAGCAUACAAUAAAACUGCUAUAAUGUUGGCAGAGGGCUUGUUUGCAUGUGGUGCUACAAUAAAAAUUAACAAACCA
This is a long non-coding RNA of Pygocentrus nattereri (red-bellied piranha), 589 nucleotides long. RefSeq lists it as uncharacterized. The record is from RefSeq and is a predicted model, not a curated record. The transcript has 2 exons. Lineage: Eukaryota; Metazoa; Chordata; Actinopteri; Characiformes; Serrasalmidae.